Chelonoidis abingdonii (Abingdon island giant tortoise) is the source of this 2042-nucleotide long non-coding RNA. Lineage: Eukaryota; Metazoa; Chordata; Testudines; Testudinidae. The record is from Ensembl.
GUCUAAAACAGAAGACGAGAAGCUUUUUGUUGAUCGAGGACCCCCACACGCUUCAGCCAAGAGUGCCGUGGAUCAUAAGGAACUAUUUCCUGAACUAGGAAAGGAACCAAAUUCGUAUGAGGGGGUAAAUGUUCCUAAAGAAGGUGAUGCAGAACGGGAGUCUGUCAAAAUGCAAGAACCACCUGCAGGCCAUGCUGUCAAUCAAGAAAAUGCUGCCAAUGAAGAAGUGGAGCGGGAGCACCUCUUAAAUUAUGACGCUCAGCCAGAUGACCAGGAGCCCAGUCAGGAUGAUAAACAGGGAGCUAAAGCAGCAAACCAGAACAACAUAGCAGUUGACUACAACCUAGAUGAAAAUGAAGGUGAAUCUGAAACUGACAAGCAAGCAGCACUGGCAAGCAAUGAAAAUAACUUGCAUGCCCCAAAUCCUGAAGAUCUGAAUAUGAAGAACCACUUAUUUGAUCAAGGUGAAGAGGAGAGACAGAGGCUGUGAAUAAGGAAGCACACCAUGUGUGACUCAAUCACUUGUAAACAAAUCCAACCAUAAAGAUCCAGGUGAAGCUAGAAUGCUUGAUUGCUGUCUCAAGGCUUUAAAAGGGUCCCAAAUCAAGUAGAUUGUGGUUGUGAAGUUUUAGUACUAUGCUUCAAUGGUUAAAACUAUACUUUGUCUCUUAGAGGUUUAAAGGAGUUCUGACUUGUCAAAUUUUUUUUUUUUUUUUUACUGUUUUUAAAACCUUAAUUAGCUAGCAAUAAUUGAAAUACUUUUACAGUCAGCUAAGUUGUACAAUCAUAAAACAAUGGCAUGAAGUAGGGGAAACAAAGUAAUUCUAAGAUCAUAUUUUGAAUUCCUACCUGUGCUUCAGAUGCUAAACUUAGACUGAUCCUCCCCCAGUAAAUGGUACUUUUAGUCCUUAUUAUCACAAAGGCUGGAAUAGUUGACCUGACCCUCUCAAACUACUACAAGGCUUUUGGAUAGCUCCUCCCCCCCCUCCCCUCCUGUAAUAUCAUCGCUCUUCACCACAGAAGAACAGCAUGGUUCCCAUGGGAGGUCAUGGCAAAGAGGCUGGACCUGCAUUCACAAAGCUAGCAAGGAGGUGUAGAUUAGCUUUACAACUCAUUUUAGUAGGAGGAUUUGGUUUGUGUCAAACUGAUUUGAAGCUACCACUGUCUAAGGGAAGGCUAAAAUGGUGUGUAAUGCAUAUUCCUUACUUCACCCAUCCACCGUUGCAUUCAAAGACAUUUUUAUGUGGGACUCCAUGAGUAAACUUGAACACAUUAAAGUUAUAUUAUGCAUAACAGAAUACUCAGUUAUUGUACAAUGUUUUUAUUGUAACAUGUUGAAUGUAUUCAUUGUGUCAACAAACAUACAGUACCUCCUAGUGCCAUUAGGAAAGCUUUGGGAGUGCUGGUCUCUGCUUGUUAACUGCAAGGUGCCUCUUGAAGCAGGAGUUUAAAGUGGGGAAAGUCCACCACACCAUCUAUCACAGAUGGUUCUCGACCAUGCUGUUUUAAAACAAUUAGUAUCACACACAUUCUUAGCUACCCCUGAGAUUUUGUCCUUGAUUCCACUUAUAAAUCCUGGUUGAUAAAAGCAGGUAGGUUACAGGGAUUUGGACCCUGAUACUGAAGGUCGCCUGUAUGCCACAGUCCAGUGUUUCAGACAGCAAGGGAAAAGAAAAUGAAAGCAGCUGGCAUCCUGUAACUGCUUGUUCAAAAGGACUAUUUUUAUAAUUUGAACAAAUACAGAUCAACAGGUCAGAUACUAAUGCAGAAUAGAAGACAGUAAAACAAAAUUAGAGGAGAGAAGAGUUGGUAGGCAUGACUGAAUUGUACAAAGGACUGCACAUUGCAUUUAAGUUAUACUCUCACAGCGAGGGAAAUCUGAUGCUUCACUCACUACUCAUGCACUUUAUUUCCUUUCUAGUUAUGUACUGUAUGCCAUAGCUCACAGUGCCAGUAAUCUGGCUAUAAUCAUUUGAGCACAAUUUUUUUGUAUCUUAGAUAAAGCUGCCAUACAAUAAAUAGGGCUGUGCUCAGAAGCUGCA